CCGCGCAGCCGGGGAAUUAGCGGAGCCUUGUACCUGCAACCCGCUACAGCAGGGGUGAUAUUCCGUCUGAGGGCUGCCUUCUGUGGGGCUGCCCCUGGUAAGUGGCGUUGAAGCCUGGGUCUUGCGCAACGGAAAUCCAUGAACCGUGUCAGGUCAGGAAUGGAGCAGCACUAAGUGGAACCUUCCGUGUGCCGUGAGGUCGCCUGGGCAGAGUUAACUGCCAGGGUAACGCCUGUGGAAGCAGUUCGAAGCGGAAUGCGCGG
This 263-nucleotide signal recognition particle RNA is filed under the name Cuneatibacter caecimuris. RNAcentral's name for it is "Bacterial large signal recognition particle RNA". It matches the Rfam family "Bacterial large signal recognition particle RNA". Rfam says of the family: The signal recognition particle (SRP) is a universally conserved ribonucleoprotein involved in the co-translational targeting of proteins to membranes. Archaeal SRP consists of a 7S RNA and homologues of the eukaryotic SRP19 and SRP54 proteins. The record is from Rfam by way of RNAcentral. Lineage: Bacteria; Bacillati; Bacillota; Clostridia; Lachnospirales; Lachnospiraceae.